UACAGGGGGGGCAAGCGUUGUUCGGAAUUACUGGGCGUAAAGGGCUCGUAGGUGGCCAACUAAGUCGGACGUGAAAUCCCUCAGCUUAACUGGGGAACUGCAUCCGAUACUGGAUGGCUUGAGUUUGGGAGAGGGAUGCGGAAUUCCAGGUGUAGCGGUGAAAUGCGUAGAUAUCUGGAGGAACACCGGUGGCGAAGGCGGCAUCCUGGACCAACACUGACACUGAGGAGCGAAAGCCAGGGGAGCAAACGGG
This 253-nucleotide ribosomal RNA is filed under the name uncultured bacterium. RNAcentral describes it as "partial 16S ribosomal RNA". It matches the Rfam family "Bacterial small subunit ribosomal RNA", at positions 524 to 776 of the family's 1533-position model. RNAcentral also lists the same sequence under 1 other name. The record is from RNAcentral.